This 920-nucleotide ribosomal RNA is filed under the name Clarkus sp. PDL-2005. RNAcentral describes it as "SSU rRNA". It matches the Rfam family "Eukaryotic small subunit ribosomal RNA", at positions 39 to 966 of the family's 1831-position model. Lineage: Eukaryota; Metazoa; Nematoda; Enoplea; Mononchida; Mononchidae. The record is from RNAcentral.
AAAGAUUAAGCCAUGCAUGUGUAAGCACAUGCCUUAAAACGGUAAAGCCGCGAAUGGCUCGGUAUAACAGCCACUGUUUAUUAAACUCUAGUUAUCUACUUGGAUAACUGUGGCAAUUCUAGAGCUAAUACAUGCACGCAGGCUCGGACCUUUUGGGAAGAGCGCAUUUAUUAGACCAAAACCAAUCGGGCUUCGGCCUGUGUUUUGGUGACUCUGAAUAACUAAGUCGAUCGCACAGUCUUAGUACUGGCGACGUAUUUUUCAAAUGUCUGCCUUAUCAACUUUCGAUGGUAGGUUAUACGCCUACCAUGGUUAUAACGGGUAACGGAGAAUUAGGGUUCGACUCCGGAGAGGGAGCCUGAGAAAUGGCUACCACAUCCAAGGAAGGCAGCAGGCGCGCAAAUUACCCAAUCCCAGAACGGGGAGGUAGUGACGAAAAAUAACGAGGUAAUCCACUUUGUGGCUUGCCAUCGGAAUGGGCACAAUAUAAAUCUUUUAACGAGGAUCUAUUAGAGGGCAAGUCUGGUGCCAGCAGCCGCGGUAAUUCCAGCUCUAAUAGUGUAUAUUAAAAUUGUUGUGGUUAAAACGCCCGUAGUUGGAUCUUCGGUCUUGAAGCUCGGUAGCCCGUAAGGGUUUAACUGAGUCUUCUGGCCUCGAUUCUAGUUUUCUCCUGAUGCUCUUUAUUGAGUGUCUUGAGUAGCUAGGGAUUUUACUUUGAAAAAAUUAGGGUGCUAAAAGCAGGCUAUACGCUUGAAUAAGUGCAUGGAAUAAUGGAAUACGACUUUAGUCUUAUUUUGUUGGUUUUCGAGAUUAAAGUAAUGAUUAAGAGGAACAGCCGGGGGCAUUUGUAUUGUUGCGUUAGAGGUGAAAUUCUUGGAUCGCAGCAAGACAAACAACUGCGAAAGCAUUUGCCAAGAAUG